Agelaius phoeniceus (red-winged blackbird) is the source of this 6155-nucleotide RNA transcript. It is a transcript of the gene named WD repeat domain 20, with no coding region annotated. The record is from RefSeq and is a predicted model, not a curated record. Lineage: Eukaryota; Metazoa; Chordata; Aves; Passeriformes; Icteridae.
CCCCGCGCGCAGGGGCCGCGCGCGCGCCGGCGGCUGCGCAGUGUCGGCACAUCCGGGCACUGGGGCAGGAUGAGCGCUCCUUUCCAAGAUGGCGGCGGAGGGAGGUGGGAAGGAGAUGAACGAGAUUAAGACCCAGUUCACCACCCGGGAGGGGCUGUACAAGCUGCUGAGCCACUCGGAGUACAGCCGGCCUAACCGCGUGCCCUUCAACUCGCAGGGCUCCAACCCCGUCCGCGUCUCCUUCGUCAACGUCAACGACCAGAGCGGCAACGGGGACCGGCUCUGCUUCAAUGUGGGCCGGGAGCUCUACUUCUACAUCUACAAGGGGGUCCGCAAGGCUGCGGACUUGAGUAAACCAAUAGACAAAAGGAUAUACAAAGGAACACAGCCUACAUGCCACGACUUCAAUCAUUUAACAGCCACAGCAGAAAGUGUGUCUCUUCUAGUGGGCUUCUCUGCAGGCCAGGUCCAACUUAUAGACCCUAUUAAAAAAGAAACUAGCAAAUUAUUUAAUGAGGAAAGACUAAUAGACAAGUCCCGAGUAACCUGUGUAAAAUGGGUACCAGGUUCGGAAAGCCUUUUCCUAGUAGCUCAUUCCAGUGGCAAUAUGUACUUGUAUAACGUGGAGCACACUUGUGGUACCACAGCCCCGCACUACCAGCUACUUAAACAAGGAGAGAGCUUUGCAGUGCACACUUGCAAGAGUAAAUCCACAAGAAACCCUCUGCUUAAAUGGACAGUAGGUGAGGGUGCCCUGAACGAAUUUGCCUUUUCCCCUGAUGGGAAGUUCUUGGCGUGCGUGAGCCAGGAUGGUUUUCUUCGCGUGUUUAACUUUGAUUCGGUGGAAUUGCAUGGUACAAUGAAAAGCUACUUUGGAGGACUGCUGUGUGUGUGCUGGAGCCCCGAUGGGAAAUACAUAGUGACAGGCGGAGAGGAUGACCUGGUGACAGUUUGGUCUUUUGUGGACUGUCGAGUCAUAGCGCGAGGCCACGGACACAAAUCGUGGGUCAGCGUGGUGGCCUUUGAUCCGUACACCACUAGUGUAGAAGAGAGCGACCCCAUGGAAUUUAGCGGAAGUGAUGAGGAUUUCCAAGACCUUCAUUUUGGCAGAGAUCGAGCAAAUAGCACGCAAUCCAGACUGUCCAAAAGGAACUCUACAGACAGUCGUCCAGUAAGUGUUACGUAUAGAUUUGGUUCGGUAGGCCAGGACACACAGCUCUGUUUGUGGGAUCUUACAGAAGAUAUCCUCUUCCCCCACCAACCUCUGUCAAGAGCAAGGACACAUACAAAUGUCAUGAAUGCCACAAGUCCACCUGCAGGAAGCGGUGGAACUAACCCAGGAAGUAAUGGAAACAGUAUCACAACACCUGGAAACUCUGUACCCCCUCCUCUUCCACGGUCAAACAGCCUUCCACACUCUGCAGUCUCAAACGCUGGCAGUAAAAGCAGUGUCAUGGAUGGUGCCAUUGCUUCUGGCGUUAGUAAAUUUGCAACCUUAUCGCUACAUGAUCGGAAGGAAAGACACCAUGAAAAAGAUCACAAGAGAAACCAUAGCAUGGGACAUAUAUCUAGCAAGAGCAGUGACAAACUGAACCUAGUUACUAAAACCAAAACGGACCCAGCUAAAACUUUGGGAACACCUCUCUGUCCCCGAAUGGAAGAUGUUCCCUUGUUAGAGCCUCUUAUCUGUAAAAAGAUAGCACAUGAAAGACUGACUGUGUUAAUUUUUCUUGAAGACUGUAUAGUCACUGCUUGUCAGGAGGGAUUUAUUUGCACAUGGGCAAGGCCUGGUAAAGUGGUAAGUUUUAAUCCUUAAUGCUGCAUCAAAGAGCUAGAACUCUGAAUAGAUAGUUUUCUUGAAAUAUAAUGAAUGUUGAAUAUAAAAUUUCUUUAUGCUUAAUGUAAAAAAAAUAUCCUCAGAGCCAUACUUUUGGAUACUGCAUGCCAUAUUUCUGAAUGAUUUGAAGUGUCUUGGAUACAAUUAUUAAAUAUAGUUGCCUUCCAGCAGAAGAAAUAAAUACUGUGCAUCUAAACUAUUGAUCAGUGUUCUUAUACUUAAGCAUAACCACAAUAUGGUGAAAGCUAUUUAUGUAAAAAUUGAAGUAAAACCUGUCAAACACUAAAAUAAUCAUAAUCCUUCUAAUGUUUUCUAAAAAAUAAGCACUCCCAAUGAGAGUAGCUUAUGAAAAGCUGCUGCUUCUAAGUCUAAUGAGAAACGUGAGCCUCUGAAAAAGUGAAAACCAAAGUGUUUUAUUCCUCCAUUCUUUUCUGUGGUGGCCUGCCAUUAAUGUGAAACCACUUCUUAUUAAAACAUCAGCCAUUUUAUGCACAGAUUUGUGAGCCCUGUACUGACUGUAGUUUAUGCUCUUCAAUUGUGAAUCAGUAUUAACAAGGAACUCUAAUUAUAGCCAGGUUUUGAUUUAUGUAUUUAAGUUAGGGAAAAUCCUGCAAGCUUUCUCUCAGUAGGUUCAGUGUUCUGUUCCUGUCAGGUUUGUUAAGGCAGUUCAACCACUACAAGCUCGUGUUUUUGAUGGCACCUGUUCCAUCAGCUGAACCUACAUUAGUCUAUUACUAGUUUUCACUCUUGUUGUUGAUGCACUUGAACACCUAUAUUUUUUUAUUUUUCUUCUGUCCAAUGUAUAGAUAGCUAAAUUUUGACUGAAGCUAAAUGUGGUGAUUCUAACAUUAAAAAGUUCUUUGUGCUACAAUAGCUCUGCUUGCCAGCAACAGUUCAAAGGAAUACAGCUAUGAGGACAUUUCCAGAGUUGAUCUGAGAAAAAGGACUAUUAUUUUUGUGAAAAUUUCUGAAAGGAGAUGUAGACUAUCACCUGAAGUGAGAGAAAUGAUCUGGUAAUACCUGAAUAAUCCCAUGUUGAGCAACUUAAAUGAAAAUCUGUUGUUUGUUAGAUUUUAACCAUUUGGUUCAUAAAUCUGACUUUUGAAGUAGAGGUACUGUAUAUAUUUAGAUACCACAUCUUCAUUACUAUAAACUUGCAAGUAAAACUCAAUUAUUUUUCUUAAAAUUGUUUGUAUAAUGUAGGCUUUUUUGAGAUCCUAUCAAAUUUGUCUCAACAUACGUGUGCGUAAAAAUCUGUGUCUGCUCUGCAUCUUAAUGCAUAUUUAAAGGUUGAAUCUAAAACUUAAAAUUGAAAACCCCUUUAUGGGAGAAGGGAGGAGGGUGUUACCUAAAAGUAUUUUUUUGCCUGAGAACUACAAAUCCAGCAUUAAUUAAAAAAAAAAAAGCCAACACUCCCUUAAACACUAAACUAUUUAAAAUGUUUGCUCAAAAUGGAAGUAUUAAAGCAAUUAUACUUUUGUGACUCAGUGCACUUCACAUCUUAUUAAUUACAGCAGUGCCUCAGAUUGCUAUUGUGAGCUACAUUUUCUUUUUGUUCUAAAACUUUUUUGAAUACUAUUGAACACUACACUGUCACAUUUAUUUUUCAGUGGCUGAGGUGGGUUUUGUUAGACUGAGUAUAACUUAAAUAUUUUUGUGUAUUAACUUUGAUUUGGAAUAUGACAUUUCAAAUAUUUCAGAGAUAAAGUAUGCAGUACCAAAAAUCAGGAUUUAUGUAUUGGCCAAUAUGGAAAACUUUAACUACAGAGUAAAAGCCUCUGAAUCUUGCUGCUGCUUCCAUCAUUGCCUCAGAAGGCCUUCAUUAAAUUGAUGCCACUGCCAGCCUGAAGAAAGAAUUGGAUGGAAAAGCAAAGGAGGCUUGCAGUGUCUAAUGUAAUUUCCAUUGAGCCAGUGCUACCUCUCCCUCUCAUUUCCAACAGCCAUCAAAACAUGUGCUGGAUAAUUUGACAGUGUAUGACAAAUUCUGUUUAUUUUUCUGGUUGGGCUUGGGCUGCCCUGAGUGGAAAAUAAAUCCAGAAGUGUCUGUUCAGCCGUGAUCCCUGUGAUAGUUGAUAGUCUGUACAGUGCUGACGUUGUCCUGACAGUUUGUUUAUAAACUUUCCAAAUUACUGCUUCAGUGUGUACAAAAUCAUACCUUGAGCUUCCUCACGGGAUGUGCUGUUCUUGCAUUGCACUUCCAGAACUGCUCUGCCAACUCCCAGUCAGUGAAGUGAAGUGAAUGGCAAAAUUCAAUUAGAAACAAAUUGGAUGAGGUUCAGGGUUCAUUAGUUUCAAUUUUUUAUUCUUUUUUUUUUUUUUUUUUUUUUUUUGUGAGCUGGUUUCUGUGAAAGGUUCAGGGUGGUCAGAAAAAUAGGUUGCCUUAACAAGAGUAUGAGCUUUUCUCCUCAACAUGGUGACAAUUAGCUGUCAUCUCUCACCCCUGUCUUUGCCAGGCCCUAAUGGGAAACCUAAACAGGAUUACAGAACUGUUGGAUUAAUCUAGAAAUAUAGAAACAGAAUUUGGAAGGAAGAAAAGUAAACUUUAUUGUGCUAUCUUUAUAGCUACAUCAAUCUGAAUUACAGGAUCUGCAGAAGCAAUUAAAAAACCCCAACAAAAGCAAUCCACAAAACCCCAAAGUGGUACUUGGAUAUGCAAAGUAAGUUUUCUCUGAACUCAGUGGUCAGAGUAACUACUUACAUGAUUUCUGUGUUGGGCUUCAGAAUUCACUGUUCACUGUCUGUACAGUGACUCCAUUUUCUGGGAGUGAAAGUUGCUGGGGAGUUCCCUGUGUCAGAAAGCUCAAGGUAAGAUUGGCCAGAAGCACCCCCAGGUGAAAUGGCAGUGUAUAACCUAGCAAGAGAAACAUCCUACCACUUUGUAAAACAAAUGCACAUGGAAUUUAUUUAUUUGACUUAUUGUACAGGAAAACUUAGACUUAAAUUAUAACAUCCUUGAAUUUUCUAGUUAACUACAAUUGUAGUACAGUAUCAUGUUUUAGUAUGGCUUCUGUUUUAGUGAAAGUACUUAAACAUUCAUGUACUAUAUUUGAGUGAGACAAGCAGCUAUACAUACUAAUUCUUCCUCAGUGGAAAGGAGCAUUUCAUCAUUACAAUUGAAGUUCAAUUGCUGGUAUUUAAGUACUAUCAAAUAGAUUUCUUUCAACGUGAUACGGUAUCUGUAUAACCUUCAGGGAUGAUUAUAGUUAAACUGAAACACAGCUAUACAACUUCAGGUUACCAUGCUAAAAUUUGAAGCUUUCUGUAAUGUGCACAAUAGCAAAGUUGCACAUGGCAUACCCACAUUAUCAGGGUGAAUUAAACCUAGAGUACACUGGUGUGAUAUUUAUAGCAAGGUAUGUGUGUGUGCGUGUGUGAGGAGGUGUGACAAGUGGCUCCAGUACAGCCAGGAGAGAUCAUAACCCUCUAAAGGCUUUAUGAUGAGGAUGUCUGGAUUAGGAAAUAACAUGACUUUUACUAAACGCUUUCUAGAAAACCCAUGUUCUGAAUUAUCACCUCUUAAAAUUUGAGUAUGUACUUGGAAUGACUGUAUAUGUCUGCCCCUUUAACAACAUAAAACUACUAAAUUAAUAUUUAAAAUGCUGGCCUGCUUAUGUUACGAUAAUAAAAUUUGUGUCAGUUAAUUUACUGUCAAUUUACAUGUAAAGAUUAAACUAUUUUUUCUGCAUUUUAUGAUUCUGUAUACUGGAGUUUGUUAAAGAUUGACAUGUUAGGUGAUACUGUACAAAAUUGUAUUGACUACCUUUAGUGAAAAUCAAAAGUAAAAUUCAUAUGUAUUUCCUUUUUACACUUCCAUCUAAUUUCUUGACAACUUGAAUAAAUUUCAUAGAGCCUUUCUAACAUGAACUAUUGUUAAUUUAACUGUUGCAAUAAUUAAGCUUUAAGAAGUAUUGUUGGUAUAUUUAUAAUUUUAAGAAGAUCAUGUUUGUUUCAUACUGCUUAUUUUUAGCUGUUCUAUUGUCACUGUUACAGCUGAAGAACUUUACUAAAUACUUGACAUUACAAAAUAACUUGCUGGGGUUGUCCUCUGUAUACUGAUGUUAAAUAAAAAUGUGUGAUUGAACUGUAAAUGUAGAUAACUUUCAAUAGUCCUUUCCACAUUUGAGUUUUAAUUUAUCUUGCAGUGCUUAGGUGGUCUUAUGCUCUCACACUGUGCUGAACAAAUGGCCACAAUGAAACUGUUAACUUGCCAUGCUUUAAAGUAAGAAGUUGAUCACAUCUGUAACCUGCUCUGAGAAAAUGUUUCAUCUCAAGACUAUGCAGAUGUUUUGAUGUUUAAAGCUUGCUGAUAAGGUCAUGA